CAGUAGCCACGGUAAUACAGAGGGUGCGAGCGUUAAUCGGAUUUACUGGGCGUAAAGCGUGCGUAGGCGGCUAAUUGAGUCGGAUGUGAAAUCCCUGAGCUUAACUUAGGAAUUGCAUUCGAUACUGGGAAGCUAGAGUAUGGGAGAGGAUGGUAGAAUUCCAGGUGUAGCGGUGAAAUGCGUAGAGAUCUGGAGGAAUACCGAUGGCGAAGGCAGCCAUCUGGCCUAAUACUGACGCUCAUGCACGAAAGCGUGGGGAGCAAACAGGAUUAGAUACCCCGGUAGUCCCUGUCUCUUAUAC
Molecule: ribosomal RNA, 301 nt
Filed under: uncultured bacterium
Lineage: Bacteria
Description: partial 16S ribosomal RNA
Rfam family: Bacterial small subunit ribosomal RNA
Source: RNAcentral